UACGGAGGAUGCGAGCGUUAUCCGGAUUUAUUGGGUUUAAAGGGUGCGUAGGCGGACUGUCAAGUCAGCGGUAAAAUUGAGAGGCUCAACCUCUUCCCGCCGUUGAAACUGGUGGUCUUGAGUGGAUGAGAAGUACGCGGAAUGCGUGGUGUAGCGGUGAAACGCAUAGAUAUCACGCAGAACUCCGAUUGCGAAGGCAGCGUACCGGCAUCCAACUGACGCUGAGGCACGAAAGCGUGGGGAUCAAACAGG
Molecule: ribosomal RNA, 252 nt
Filed under: uncultured bacterium
Lineage: Bacteria
Description: partial 16S ribosomal RNA
Rfam family: Bacterial small subunit ribosomal RNA
Source: RNAcentral